RNAcentral lists this ribosomal RNA (413 nucleotides) under uncultured bacterium. RNAcentral's name for it is "bacterial SSU rRNA". It matches the Rfam family "Bacterial small subunit ribosomal RNA", at positions 355 to 766 of the family's 1533-position model. The record is from RNAcentral.
UAAGGAAUAUUGGUCAAUGGACGCAAGUCUGAACCAGCCAUGCCGCGUGAAGGAUGAAGGUCCUCUGGAUUGAAAACUUCUUUUAUCUGGGACGAAAACGGGAUUUUUAUCUCAAUUGACGGUACCAGAGGAAUAAGCACCGGCUAACUCCGUACCAGCAGCCGCGGUAAUACGGAGGGUGCGAGCGUUAUCCGGAUUUACUGGGUUUAAAGGGUGCGUAGGUGGGCUUAUAAGUCAGUGGUGAAAUCUCCGAGCUUAACUUGGAAACUGCCGUUGAUACUAUAGGUCGUGAAUUAUCUGGAGGUAAGCGGAAUUUGUCAUGUAGCGGUGAAAUGCUUAGAUAUGACAUAGAACACCAAUUGCGAAGGCAGCUUACUACAUAUAAAUUGACGCUGAGGCACGAAAGCGUGGGG